GAUGAACGCUGGCGGCGUGCCUAAUACAUGCAAGUCGAGCGAACAGAUGAGGAGCUUGCUCCUCUGACGUUAGCGGCGGACGGGUGAGUAACACGUGGAUAACCUACCUAUAAGACUGGGAUAACUUCGGGAAACCGGAGCUAAUACCGGAUAAUAUCUUGAACCGCAUGGUUCAAUAGUGAAAGACGGUUUUGCUGUCACUUAUAGCUGGAUCCGCGCCGCAUUAGCUAGUUGGUAAGGUAACGGCUUACCAAGGCAACGAUGCGUAGACGACCUGAGAGAGUGAUCGGCCACACUGGAACUGAGACACGGUCCAGACUCCUACGGGAGGCAGCAGUAGGGAAUCUGCCGCAAUGGGCGAAAGCCUGACGGAGCAACGCCGCGUGAGUGAUGAAGGUCUUCGGAUCGUAAAACUCUGUUAUUAGGGAAGAACAAAUGUGUAAGUAACUAUGCACGUCUUGACGGUACCUAAUCAGAAAGCCACGGCUAACUACGUG
RNAcentral lists this ribosomal RNA (497 nucleotides) under uncultured bacterium. RNAcentral's name for it is "partial 16S ribosomal RNA". It matches the Rfam family "Bacterial small subunit ribosomal RNA", at positions 28 to 507 of the family's 1533-position model. The record is from RNAcentral.